This 7266-nucleotide long non-coding RNA is filed under the name Populus trichocarpa (black cottonwood). RNAcentral describes it as "long non-coding RNA (PTRI_LNC001030)". The record is from RNAcentral. Lineage: Eukaryota; Viridiplantae; Streptophyta; Magnoliopsida; Malpighiales; Salicaceae.
GUGUUUUGCACAACUAGUGGCGUGGACAUGCCCGGGGCUGACUAUCAACUUACUAAACUUUUAGGCCUCCGCUCAUCGGUCAAACGUUUUAUGAUGUAUCAACAAGGUUGUUUCGCUGGUGGCACGGUGCUCCGUCUUGCUAAGGACCUCGCCGAGAACAACAAAGGUGCUCGUGUGCUAGUCGUGUGCUCUGAAAUAACAGCCGUGACAUUUCGAGGCCCUAGCGAUACUCAUCUUGAUAGCCUUGUUGGUCAAGCAUUGUUUGGCGAUGGCGCAGCUGCUCUUAUAAUAGGCUCUGACCCAGUGAUAGGAGUCGAGAAGCCUUUAUUUGAGCUAGUCUCAGCAGCCCAAACUAUUCUACCCGACAGCGAUGGGGCUAUAGAUGGACAUCUCCGUGAAGUUGGGCUUACAUUUCACCUCCUCAAGGAUGUUCCUGGGCUUAUUUCAAAGAAUGUUGAGAAGAGCCUGACUGAGGCGUUCAAGCCUCUAGGCAUCUCGGACUGGAACUCCCUUUUCUGGAUAGCGCACCCUGGUGGACCGGCAAUUCUAGACCAGGUGGAGGCUAAGUUGGCGCUGAAACCAGAGAAACUGCGAGCCACUCGACAUGUGCUGAGUGAGUAUGGAAAUAUGUCCAGCGCAUGUGUGCUGUUUAUUUUGGAUGAGAUGAGAAAGAAAUCUGCUGAGGAUGGGCUGCAAUCUACUGGAGAAGGGCUGGAAUGGGGUGUGCUUUUUGGGUUUGGGCCUGGGCUCACUGUUGAGACUGUGGUGCUCCACAGUGUGGCUCCAACAAUCUAGAUGCUGCUUCUGUUGGUUUACAUGGGCAGCCUGCACUUUCACUGCUGUUGACUUGUUUUUUUUUUAAAAAAAAAAUGCUCUCGCUUCUUUUAGUUAUGCCCUAUUCCUCUACAGUGUGUGUCUCUUUUGAGAGCACCAAUAAGGAGUGGGGGAAAGAGUCGAGGUGGUUGUGUUUGGAUUUACGUAAUUUGCUGAACUGUAAUCGGAGACUUAUAAAAAAUUAUUUUUAAAAAAUAUCUAAGUCACAACAUAAAAUAACAUAAUGAUUGUGGUAUUAUAUUUGAAAGGGAAUUACUUUAUAUUUUCUGGAGAUGCAUUCUCUUUUAAAUUAAUAUGAAUAUCCGAAUCAGUUUGCGCGUAUUUCGACUAAUUUCACGGCCAUAAAAUUAAUAAUCAUGUAAAUCUUCAAUAACCUGAGAUUUAUAGGAUUCAAACUAGUAAUUUUUAAAAAAUAAAACCAAAACUUGAUGAAUGAAGUUACACCUCAAAAUUAAAUUAGAUGCAUUCUCUUUUUUUAGUUUAACGUGGGUAUCCGGGCUGGCUUGCAUGCACCUCGACUAAUCUCACGGGCCCUGAAGUUAACGACCAUGUAAGCCUCCAGUGGCCAUCAUAUGAGCAACCACAGGGCUCGAACCUGAAACCACAGAGAAAACAAACUUUUUAAUUCCAAGUUUUUACUACUAGACCACCACCUAGAUGAUGAAUUAGAUGCAUUCUCUUAUUUCAUAUAAAGACAGGAUGGAUAAAUAAUAUUUAUGUAACCUGUCUCCUUUUUAUGUGAAAAAGGAGUUGAACUCAAUGUACGCCUAAUAAUUUCUCUUGUAGAAAAUUCUACAUAAUAUCAUCGGUAAAAUCAAAAAGUGUUGCAUGUUUUUACACACGUGCAUUGAUUAUUUUUUUCAAUUUUAACGUUUGGAUAUGUUUAAAAAAUAUAUUUAACUUAAAAAAAAAUAUUUUUUAGUAUUAUUUGAUAUUUUUUAUGUGUUAAUAUUAAAAAUUAAAAAAAUUAAUAUUUGUUUAAGUGAAAUUUUAUUUUAAAAAGCAAAAAUUAUCAGUUUCUUAAACGAACGAUUAAUCUUUUGUGUGUGACUUGUAAAAAAAAUCAAUGAAUAAUUUAAUUUAAAAUUUAUUACCCCAAUUAAAAACACAUUAUUAUAGAACUCAACACAACCCAGAAUUUAUCUAAGAAAUUUAAAACCUAAUAACCAGUUCAAGUUCAUAAUUACUAGUCAAAUCAACUAAAAUAUAAACCCAGCAAAACUCAUUCAAUACAUCAAAACAUGGUCCGAACCUGGUAAUACUUGUAGUUGUUUAAUCCAAACCCGGCUUAGUUUGAUCUCAAACGUCCAGUACUUUAGAUGUUUGAAUCUUAUCAGUUCAUUUUCCAACUAUAUAGCCAGACUUUAUAUUCAUCUUCCAUGUCUCCGUUCUCAUUCUCUCUUUUAGUUUCAAUCUCUCACCAUAGAAACACCAUCAAACCUCUAUUUCCUGCAUCAUUCUUACUGUAUAGUUCCAACAAAAAAUAACUGAAUUAAAGCUUUAACAUAUUUUAGUUAAAAGGAAAAACAUAUAUAUAUCAAUGAAGAGCAGGAUCAUCAAGAAAAUUUUAAAAAAUAAUAAAAUAUCAGAAUCCUCUGCUAAGCAAAAACGGAAGUUUCCUAAGCAAAAUAACGCACCAGGGAAGCUAAAAUAAUGAUCCACUCUAUCAUUUACAUUUGCUCUUCCAAGAGUAUAUUCAUCAUUAAAAUCAGAAUUACUUGCUGAAAGAUUGUUGACUCUAAGAUCUUAUAAAAAUAACAAAAAAAAAAAAAAAACAGCCAGAUAAUAUUUCCUUUCCCCUUCUCUGUUCCCGUUGAACACAGCAAGACGAUGAAGGAAGUACAAAUAUAAAACAAUAGACAAUGAAAAAGCUAUAGAUUAUACUAUUUCGUAUGCUAAUGGGGAAUUUGUUUUUAAUAUUGUUAUUAAACCUGAAAACACAAUCAUUUUUAAAAAAUAUCAUCAAUAUAUCUCUUGUUUAUUUUAAUAAAAACAAGGUUUUUAAUUGAAACCAUUGUUUUUAUUAAAAAAAAAUAUGAUUGUUAAAGAAAGUUUUUAAAAAAUAGUAAAUUAGCAUGUCCAUGUUUUAUAUGUGAUUGAAAAUAAAAAAAAUUGUAAAUAUGAUAAAAUUAUUUUUGAAAUUGAUUUAAAAAAUUUAAUAAUAAAAAACAAUUUGAAUUGAAUUUUCAUGAAUAAUUUAUUAUUAGUAUUAUUAUUUUCAUAUCAGUUACAUAAUAAUUAAAAAUAAAUUAUUAAAAUUGAAAUAAAAAUAAAAAUUUAUAAUAAUAUUUAAAAACUAUGCCAAAAUGAAAGAGAAAGUGAAAUAAAAAAAACAAUUUGGAGUGCCAAAACAAUCAAACCAAAAAACAAAACAGAAAAAGUCAAGGCCUAGCACAUGGCCCACUAGUAGUAGGCCAUGCGUACACCUGACCUUGUUUUAUUUUUUUAAUAAAAGGUUUUAUUUUUAAAAAAAAUACAGAUAACAUGUCUAACGUUUAUUUAAAGGAAAAAUCAGCUUCCCUGGCUCUGAAACCCAUGACUUCCAGGCUUAGAUAGACAGCUAACUAACUGAGCCAUGACACGAAUUCUUCAUAUGAACAGUGCUUAAAAAAUCCUAAUUAUUUUAGUGUCGUGGUAGAAUCUGGUAGAUACGCUGCAAAGGAGAAAAUGACCGAAGAAAACAAUGAAUGGUUGGUGGGAGAUGAGAAGUUUUGCCAGGUGGCAACUAUAGUUGGCUCAGAAGAUUGCAUUAGAAACGACGUCUUUUUGGAUGUUUCAGAAAUGAGAUGUCGUUUCAUUAUUUAUGGACUAACUUGAUAAUUCAUGGAUGAUUCGGUAACUUAUAUAUUUUUUCCGGAUUAAUCUCCGGAUCAUGAUUAUGGAAAAUAUCAUGAUAUUUGUAUAUUCCAGGAUCUAGAACUUUGAAUUACACGCUUGGAAAACUCUCACACCCCUUGCAUGUACUAGAGCUCAAAUUUAUUUUAUUACAUGAAUAACCUACCAAAUACACGUGGAAAGCAGGAGACCACAUGUGUUCUAAUGUUUUCAGUCUAAAAAUCUAACCCGCCCUCGGCUGUUUUCAGGUGCGUGCUUACCAACUUUUCUUUCAAUUGAUUGCAUCCACUAACCAAAAAAAAACGUGUAAUUCUGUACAUCAUACGUGAUUUUCUGUAUUUUUUAAAAAAUAUUUUUUAUUUAUUUUUUUAAUUUCAAAUUAAUUUUUUUUUGAUAUUUUCAGAUUGUUUUGAUAUAUUAAUGUUAAAAAUAAUUUUUAAAAAAUAAAAAAAACAUUAUUUUAAUACAUUUCCGAGCAAAGAAUACUUUAAAAAAUAACUGUUGGAAUAUAGGGCUGAUUGGAGACUUGAGUUGACGGGCUCUUUCUUGUAAUUUAACUCGUGGAAGUGAUUAUUCAUUCACUGUGAAUUGUCUCAAGUCUAUUUAUAUAUAUAUAUAUGUAUGUGUGUGUGUGUGUGUGUGUAAACUAUAAGCUCACACAAAUUAUUAGGCAUUCUCUUUGCGUGACAGAUUUGAAUCUUACAUUCUUUACCUAAUACCUGCCUAACAGGAAGCCUGGGCCUAAGCGUUCCAUAUUUCCUGGUUCACGUGCAUGCUGCCCUUUCCCCUUUGACUCCCUGAUAACAUAGGGCAACACAAAUUUUAUUAAUUUGAUCAGAUUGGAUUAAAUUGUACUGUAUUUUAAGUUGACUAGCAAUUGUAAAUACAUACCCAAGAAAUAAAAAUAUUAAUUCUUUUAAAAAGUUUAACAAAUAAAAAUAUCAAGGGCUGUGCUUUUUUGAAAUUUUAUAUUUCUUAAAAUUUCUAACGGUUGAGAAAUUUUGAAAAUCUUUAGUUUCCCAAACAUGUUCAAAACUUAAAUAUUAGUUUUUUAAUACAAUUUCAAAACAUUGGUUGACAAUUUUUCAAUUUUCUUCUUAAAACACUUUAAAUUUUUUAAAUAAAUUAUUAUUAAUUAUUUCCUAAUAUUUAAAAAAUUAUGAGUCGCUUGAAGUUUUAUUUUUUUCUAAGAAAUAUUACUUAUUUUAGUUCUUAAUUUUUUUUUCUAGUCGCUUGAGAUUUUAUGUUUUUCUGAAAAAUAUUGAUUAUUUUAGCUCUUUAUUUUUUAAAAAAAUUAUGAUUAUAAAAUUUUAAUUAUUUAUCUCACAAUAUAAUACAAUUUGGUUCUAACUGGUUCGGAUUAAAAAACUUGUAAAUGCAUUAUUAAUUAUUUCCCCAUCUUUUUCAAUGGGAGCUCGCUUACUAAAAUCGAUGCGAACAAAUAGCUAAAUGCCAAAAAAAACCUCUCAUGAGGUGCCAUGUCUCUCAUUAAUUGAAGAAUUAAAUAUAGAUAAUUACUAGUAUGAACCAAAAAAACAAAUCUUUAUUAGUUAGUGCAAUAAAAACUCAAAAGAUAUAAGGUUUAAAUGUAAAUAAAAGGACUCCUUCUCUUCUUAAAGUUCUUAUUUUUAUAAAUGUUUUAAAAUUCAGAUUGGUUUGUUGGAUGGACCCGAGAUCUAGUUAAUUUAGAGUUUUAACCUAUAUUGAAUAGGAAAAAUAAACCUAGCUGAUUUAAUUAAAAACUUGAUUUGACCUAAUUAACUCAGGUUUAACAUGGUGAUUCAGUCGAUCAUUUAGCUGAAAUGUUUUUUCUAUCAAUUUUAUAUUUAGAUUUUUAUAUUGAUCAAUCGGGUUGAUUUUAAACUGGUCAAGUCAAAUUGAUGAUGCCAGAAAAACUUUACAUUGUUUAAUUCUAAAUUAACAUUAGAUAAUGAGUCAAUUUAAGAGGCUUUAAAGCUUUUUUUGUCGGUUUAAUAUUAAUACUAAAUAAUUUUUUAUAUCUUAAAUCUUUUUUAUCAUAUUUAAAAAAUUAAUAUGUCAGUGCUAGCAUGUAAGUUAGUGAUAAACUAAAGCACGUAUUUUUAAUUAUUUUGUGAUAUAAAUCCAUUUCAAUCGCAUAUAUUAACGAACCAAACAAUUAUUUUUAUUGUCAGCGGCGAUGUAACGCGCUCAAUUAGUCCUCGGUAGACUGGUUAGAAGGGCAUUUAUGCAGCACGUGAACAUCUCAGCUAACCCCUCUUUUUCGUAUUUUGAUCUCAGCUAACCUCUCACUCCUUUUCGUAUAUAUACAGAUCACACUCUCUUCGAAUUUCCCGCACAUCCCUAUCUAACUCUCGUAGCGCUUUUACGGUGCUCAGCUCUCAACCCCUUUGAUUUGAUUUCUUGGUUUUCUCCCCCAACAAAAAGAAAAUAUGGUGACCGUUGAUGAAAUUCGGAAGUCGCAACGGGCGGAGGGUCCUGCCACCAUCAUGGCCAUAGGAACAUCAACCCCUCCAAACUGUGUUGAUCAGAGCACGUAUCCUGAAUAUUAUUUUCGCAUCACAAACAGUGAGCAUAAGGCGGAGCUUAAAGAAAAAUUCAAGCGAAUGUGUAAGGCUUGUAAUUAAGUUGAAUAUGUAUAUUAAUUGCAUUUCCAUUGCACAUUAUUUCAUGAUCGUUUUCGUUUAAAGAUAUUCCAUGCUUGUUCUAGCAAACGGAAGAAUUUUUUUAAUUAUAGCAUACAUAUUAGAAUCGAAUAUUUUUAAUUAUGCAGUAAUGUCUUGAUCUAGUAUUAACAUCAAUGAAUAUAAUAGUAUAACCUUAUUGUCGGGGAUGUCAACCUCCAAAUUAAUUGCAGAAGUUAGCCAAGUCACCAGUUUAGUUUAUUCAAUUUCAAUGGACUAUCCCCAUUCAUAUUUCAUUAUUUUAAAAAUAAACACCAUUGAUGUCCAAAUUCUCUGUCUGUUGAAUUGUAAAAGGAUACUUGUGCGUGUCUACACACACAAACAUAUAUAAAUAUAUAUCGAUCCUUGAUUAAUUUUCAUUUGCAGAACUAGAAACACAUAUAUUAUCUUGGUAGAUAUCUAUCAAACUUAAUUCUGUCAUGCCAUGCAUUUCAGGUGAGAAAUCCAUGAUCAAGAAGCGGUACAUGUACUUGACUGAGGAGAUCUUGAAAGAAAAUCCUAGUGUGUGUGAAUACAUGGCACCUUCAUUGGAUGCUAGACAGGACAUGGUGGUGGUGGAGGUACCAAAGUUAGGGAAAGAAGCAGCUACCAAGGCCAUCAAGGAAUGGGGUCAGCCCAAGUCCAAAAUAACUCAUUUGGUGUUUUGCACAACCAGUGGUGUGGACAUGCCCGGGGCUGACUAUCAGCUCACUAAGCUUUUGGGUCUCCGCUCAUCGGUCAAACGUUUUAUGAUGUAUCAACAAGGUUGUUUUGCUGGUGGCACGGUGCUCCGCCUUGCUAAGGACCUCGCCGAGAACAACAAAGGCGCUCGUGUGCUAGUCGUGUGCUCUGAAAUAACAGCCGUGACAUUUCGAGGCCCUAGCGAUACUCAUCUUGAUAGCCUUGUUGGUCAAGCAUUGUUUGGCGAUGGCGCAGCUGCUCUUGUAAUAGGCUC